CCGCCGGCGACCGGCGCACGGGUGAGUAACGCGUAUGCAACCUGCCCGUUUCAGCGGGAUAACCCGGAGAAAUCCGGCCUAAUACCGCAUGUGGCCGAGGGGAGGCAUCUUCUUUCGGCCAAAGGAGGCGACUCCGGAGACGGAUGGGCAUGCGUGACAUUAGCUAGUUGGCGGGGUAACGGCCCACCAAGGCGACGAUGUCUAGGGGUUCUGAGCGGAAGGUCCCCCACACUGGUACUGAGACACGGACCAGACUCCUACGGAAGGCAGCAG
This 273-nucleotide ribosomal RNA is filed under the name uncultured bacterium. Its description in RNAcentral is "partial 16S ribosomal RNA". It matches the Rfam family "Bacterial small subunit ribosomal RNA", at positions 85 to 354 of the family's 1533-position model. The record is from RNAcentral.